RNAcentral lists this ribosomal RNA (510 nucleotides) under uncultured bacterium. Its description in RNAcentral is "partial 16S ribosomal RNA". It matches the Rfam family "Bacterial small subunit ribosomal RNA", at positions 28 to 507 of the family's 1533-position model. The record is from RNAcentral.
GACGAACGCUGGCGGCGUGCUUAACACGUGCAAGUCGAACGAAGAGCGAUGGAAGCUUGCUUCUAUCACUCUUAGUGGCGAACGGGUGAGUAACGCGUAAUCAACCUGCCCUUCAGAGGGGGACAACAGUUGGAAACGACUGCUAAUACCGCAUACGAUCUGACCUCGGCAUCGAGGAUAGAUGAAAGGUGGCCUCUACAUGUAAGCUAUCACUGAAGGAGGGGAUUGCGUCUGAUUAGCUAGUUGGAGGGGUAACGGCCCACCAAGGCGAUGAUCAGUAGCCGGUCUGAGAGGAUGAACGGCCACAUUGGGACUGAGACACGGCCCAGACUCCUACGGGAGGCAGCAGUGGGGAAUCUUCCGCAAUGGACGAAAGUCUGACGGAGCAACGCCGCGUGAGUGAUGACGGCCUUCGGGUUGUAAAGCUCUGUUAAUCGGGACGAAAGGCCUUUUUGCGAAUAGUGAGAAGGAUUGACGGUACCGGAAUAGAAAGCCACGGCUAACUACGUG